ACGAAUUUGAAUGAAGAGCCCUGCGCUUUCGGCGCCAUUUUCGAGUGAUGCCCGAUCGCAUCGCUGCCGCGGGGGAGCCGGAGCUGGCGGGGCCGCUGGGCUGGGCGCAGACCGCCGCCAAAAAUACCCGCGGCCCGAGGAGGCGCCUGCACAGGCGGUUUUGACCUUUCAAUAGAGAGCUGAUUCUGGAGAACAACUUACUUCUGUGAUUGAAAAAUUCUCUCUGGGAAGCUGAUGGAGCAUGAGAAUGGGGAAGGAGCCACUAAGUCCAGGCUACAAUUGAUUGCUGGGGACAGCAAAGGAGAAAAGAGGAACAGGAGUGAGGUUAAAGAUUGAAAAUCCAGGGAAACAGCGCAGAGAAUCCCAGAGAGCACCCACUGCUUCUCAAAGGCAUCCAAGGAAACAAUGGACACUGCCCAGAGGAACUCCGCCUGGAGAUGUGAGCAGACAAGGGACAAUAAAAAGGCCCCACAAUAGCAGAGCACCCCCCCACACACACCCCAUCCAGCUUCCUCCUCUUGGAGUGAUAGAUGGCCAUCUUGGCUAGUGUCCAGAAGAUGUUGACAAGGAGGUCCCAUGACUUUGUGGAGCCAUGGAUUAAGUGUACAAAAGUCAGGAGGUGUGGGGAAAAGGGGCAGCCAGAACCUCAGGAGGAGGUUCUGGAUGCUCCACAAGAGGGGCUGCAACCUGAUGCACUCUACAUAGAUCUCAAGGGUUGCUGUAAAAGGAACCUGUAUCAGAAGAGUUUGUGAACCAUGCCAGUACAUGCCUGUGCUCACAACUCCAUGUAGGAGUUGCCAAUUAAUAUCUCUGGUGGGCCAUGGAACUACAAUGGAGUACAGACAGGCCCUCCAGGGUUCUUCACCCUCCGCAGGUGACAAUAGGUUCCUUCACUUGGUGUUGGAUGGGACGCAAGGGUGAGGAAGUGAAUAGUAUGAAGCAUGAGCGCUUACAGAUAUUCUCUUGGCACAGCUUGGAGGCAGACCAGCUGGAUGUUAUUCAGCUGACUUAGGUGGCAUGUUGGGGGCAGCCGGGGAGGCUCGUAGAGCAGGGGCCCGAUAAUGAGUUCUGGAGGGCCAGAGAUGAGGGAGUGGACACAAAGCACACUCAUGCAGGACCCACUCAAGGAAAGUCAGAAUCAGGAGCCAAGGCUGCCCUCACUUCCCAGAGCACACAACAGUGGAGAUGCAGGGUGGGCAGCCCCAUGCACUGGCCGAGCACCACAGGGUCCACCCAAUGUCUCAGAUCAAUUCUGGUGGCACCAGCCAGGGCUAUCCUCCAGAACACCAAGGGUGACACCACCACCUGAACAUAGAGAUGGGAGCUGUUUGUAGCAGGAGUUCUGUGGCACACUGUGGAACUUUUAGUGCAUGGUGGCCAGUUAUUGUGUAGCAGGCUAGUGUGCUGUAGAUUUACAUCCCAUCUUACUGUGCACGGCCAAUGUAGACAUGCCCUUGCUCCCUGUGUGAUUCAUGUCCUGGGUGUGGAACACAGCAUGGCAGUUACCUGACUUAGAGGUAUAGGGAAGGCCCUGCAUUAACUUGAUUAGCUGUUUGCUAAUUUGAGGAGUCCCCAGUGAAAAUGCUGAUCAAAACCCCCACACAACAAUUGAAUGGGUCUUUUGGUCCCGUCCCACGCUCCAGCUUAUAUCCUAUGUUGCCAUUUACUCAUUCUUUAUUAUGUAGUUAUCACAUAAAACUUUGUAAGAUCUGUGUUUUGCAUAAAUUAGUUAAAUAUAUUGUAGAACAAUAUGCCAAAGAGAAGCUCAAACAUGAACAUUGCCUUUAUGUUGUAAAAAGUUUUACACUGUGUGGCAGGUGUUCUUCAUACCGUAAUGUUCUACAAAUAGAACUGCAUGACAAAUGGAAUGGGCAAGUUAAACUGAAAUGUUACUAUUUAUUUCUUUUAUGUAUAACAUUAUUGUAACAAUGUUUUUAAAAGUGCAAGAUGAAUUCCAUACAUGUGUCCAGGGCUUUUCAGACUGCUGUGUAUAAUUUCAUGGGAACCAAGUGUUUCCUCUUUUUAUACUCCCUUAUAAUGGCUGCACUAUAUCUUUGAGUUUUUACAAUACUUUCCUCACUGCCAGAUAGUUUGGGGUUCAAAAAUAAAAAUCACAAAACCUCUGUUAAA
This is a long non-coding RNA of Chrysemys picta bellii (western painted turtle), 2130 nucleotides long. RefSeq lists it as uncharacterized. Lineage: Eukaryota; Metazoa; Chordata; Testudines; Emydidae. The record is from RefSeq and is a predicted model, not a curated record.